RNAcentral lists this ribosomal RNA (303 nucleotides) under uncultured bacterium. RNAcentral describes it as "partial 16S ribosomal RNA". It matches the Rfam family "Bacterial small subunit ribosomal RNA", at positions 507 to 809 of the family's 1533-position model. The record is from RNAcentral.
AGCAGUAGCCGCGGGAAUACGGAGGGUGCAAGCGUUAUCCGGAUUUAUUGGGUUUAAAGGGUCCGUAGGCGGACUUAUAAGUCAGUGGUGAAAGCCUGUCGCUUAACGAUAGAACUGCCAUUGAUACUGUAAGUCUUGAGUAUAUUUGAGGUAGCUGGAAUAAGUAGUGUAGCGGUGAAAUUCAUAGAUAUUACUUAGAACACCAAUUGCGAAGGCAGGUUACCAAGAUAUAACUGACGCUGAGGGACGAAAGCGUGGGUAGCGAACAGGAUUAGAUACCCGAGUAGUCCCUGUCUCUUAUAA